CCUAGAUCAAUUCUAGAAAUGACAGGUAAUAUUUAUAGGAAAUAUCUAGAUUUUCCUUUGCUAAUCGAACUUAUUUCUUUUUGGAGUGAAAUAAGUGGGACUUAAAUGAAUCAUGGAAGUUAAAUACUGAGGUCAGUUCUCUAACAAGAGUGGAGUAAUAUGUCAUGUGUUUGAAACGUUGCCUUGCUUUAUUACUAAAUGUAUUAAGGAGGGAAAGACAGGUUUCACUUAAUUAAAUGUUGUGAUCUCCUGAAACAGACUGCUAAUUUACUUGGGGUGUUUUCAAGUGAGGAAGUCUUGAGGAUGCGGCAUCUGCUUUCCUAAAAUGAUUUCUCAAAGCUGGGUCACAUUUGAGUGAGGCACAUUGUGUGAUGUGUCAUCAUUUUGUUACUCCUGGGAAGAUUUGGGAGUGAAAUGGUCUCUCGAGUACUGCUGCAUGUUGACUGUAACUGCUCCCAUUCAUAAACUCACAGAAGCCUUUUGUGGGUGCUGGAGAAUAAACACUGCUGUAAGGGUAGUGAUAGUGUAAUGCUCAUUUCCUGUGUUGUCUUGGGUCCCCUGUGGGUGUUGAAUGUAACGUGGGACCUCUUGUAGUGUUGAUUAUUGCUUUGCUGAAAAUCUGUUAUAAAUUUCAGAAUAGACAUAAUUGGCCAUAAUAUGGACCAUAAUCGCCAUUACUGCUCAUUAUGAAUGUAUAAUUAUCUGCUUAACAGUCUGUUAUUGCGUAUUUGGGUUCAUUAUCAUAUAAUACAUUAAGUUUCAGUUCAUGGAUUGUUGCCCUUCAAAGCUCUCGGACAGUUUAUUAAGUAAAUGCAGGUAAUUCAGUUUUGAAAUAUUUUUUUUUAAUGACAGUGUUCUAGAUGGAGCAUCUCUCAUAUGUCUUCAACCUUGCUGCAGUCAGAAAAGAUGUGCAGUUAAAAAAAAAAAAAAAAACUUACAUAUUAUUACAUCAAUAGGAAUGAUUUUUUCAAAGCUCAGAGAAAGAUCCAGGCCAGCUUUUAGAUGUCAGUGCAGCAGAGGACAGUGGAGAAAUGUAUGCGCUCUCAUACAAUAUGCUUAUGCUAGUUGGAAAUUGUGCUGUUCUACUUACAGCCACAUAAGUGUGUUUGCUGAAGCCAUUCUGGACCUAUUAGAGCCCAACAGCUUUUUCUGUUUCUACAUUGCACUGUGUGCCUGAUACAAGUUGGUAUCUGAGUAGUGUAGCGAAACACAAAUGGCAUAGGUCUCCACCUCACACACAUGCUUCAACCACUCUUCUUUUCUGUGUUGUAUCUUGUGCUACGUAGAAUUUGCAAAAUGUAUUACAAGAAAAAUUGGGGAUCAAGCCUUGUUUCUUGUGCUCAGCCCAAAUAGACUUCCUGCUUGAGGCCAUUUGCAGUUAACUUAAGGCCUCUAACAAAGAUGAGGUAAAAUACACAGGUUAACUGAUGGUGGAGGUGAUACAGUGUUAGUUUUGUUAUCUGUGUAAAGAGACCUUUGAUAUUGCUAAGUCCCUGAGAGAUUCCAGAUCACAAGUGAAAUAUUGCUCAGAUAUGACAAAUAAGUGAGAAACGAUUAAAUUAAAGGAAGGCUGGAGAUGAAUUCUAACGCAGAUGAAUGUGCAGUGCAUGGCUCGGUGCACUUGGGCUACCAGUGCCGUGGUUAAGAUUUGAUUUAUUUAGUUAUGUUUCCUAAAGCUUAUUUUGCCAGUCUUACAACAUGUAUGCUUGUCAUAGUUUAAAUAAGGAUGAAUGGCUCUCACUUAAGGGCCUUAGUUCAUUCUCUGUCGCCUGUAAGAAAUCAUCUGUGGUCUUUCUGCCAGCUUCAAACAAGUGCAGUCUUACCACUGACUAAAAAUACAUACUCUCUAACUUCCAAAAAGGGGCUAUUUACUAUGUACAGUGUACCUGUCUUGUUCUUUACCUUUGCUUUCACUUUUAUGAGAAACAAAUGCUGAAGUAGAUAAAUUUUAUAAAGAUGUAUCUCUAUAACAAAUUGUAAAUCUGAGGCCUCUUUAAAAAUGUUCUGUGCUAUAUAUGCGAGCACCAUGACUUGAAUUCUGUACUUUGUGAAGUCUCGUUUUCAUGAGUGAUCUGUUAAUUCUGGUGCAUCUUACUCCACAGUGGCAUUCUGUUGAGCUGUGAACAGUGUGCAUCUGCUCAGGAGCUGCUGGAUGUAAUCCCAUAGUGGUGCAGUGCUCAUCUUGUUUGCAUGGGUCUCUCUCUGGCUCUGUCACAGUACUCACCUGUGUGGUCAGUAUAUUUCUCUUAGAGGAUCUAAAGAAAACUGAUUAAAAACACUACUGGCAUUCACAUGACCUUGUUUGCAUUCUUGUUGGAAUCUGGAGAGGACGUACAGAGAGCUGAAAGGAUGACCACGCUUUGUACGGGUAUGAGCUAAACAGAGGUACCGAGCUGUGCUGAUGGGGCAAGUGCCCUCAGUACGGGAAGAGUGCAGAUUUCUUUUUCAGGCCUCUUUAUGUACUUGGCACCCUUUCAUGAUCCUGCUGGUAUUAUAUAAACUCGUUCAUUUUAGUAAAGUAUCAAAGCAGGGAAAGACAGAAAGAAAUGUUCCCAGGCAAAGAAAAAAGAACACUUCCGUUGUUGCAGUUUUCUUCUCCUUAAGGGACAGUGACCCUGCCUGAUUUAACGUUAGCCUUCAGAUUGCUUUUCUGUGUUUUUUUUUUUUCUUCCAGCCUCGUAUUCUUAACUUGCAGGUUAUUUUAAGCUUAUUGCUUUUAAAUUGCAGAGCAUUUAAGACAUUGCAGGCAUGCAGAAUUAGGUUGGACAGUAUUGAAGGUCAUACUGUGGAGAUGUAAGCUAUACUGACAGUUGCACAGUUAGAACUGUGGUCUUCUUAUCUAGCUAAUGUAUUUGAUUCUCAUUUUAUUAACCAGUGUUUAUUCCUUCCUGUGCUGGCAAUUAUAUUCAAAUACUUUAGCACUGAUGUUUUGAACUUGUAUUUUGAUCAGAUCUUGCUGCAAAAAAAGUUUUAACAAACAUCUGUUAUUUGGUUACUCUCAGCUUAUUUAAGUCUGAUUGUGUUUCACUCACCAUAAAUCUUCCUUGAAAUCAAGUUUUUCUCUUCAUUUUGUAACGCUAUAUUAAUCAUCGACGUGAUAAUAGAUGAACAACAACACUGGAGGCACAGUCUUCAUUUAUUACAUUAAAUCUGGGAGAAGAUUGAUAAAGAGAUGCAACUCACCCAAUGUUACAAUUUUUCCAGUUAAUGUUAUCAUUGAGCACUUACUGUUAGUGCUACAUUUUUAAUGUACCAGCUACUUGAAGUUUUACUGUGCUGCUGUUUCUUGUGGUCUGGGAGUACACAGAUGGGUGAUGACUCCUUUUGGGUGUUCUGUUACCACUUUAAGCAGCGAUGCUGUUAUGCUCUUGUGAAAAAGACUGGUUGUCUGCUUUGUCUACAUGGAACAGCAGAUGAGAAUUGGGCAAGGAAUCACUCCACUUAUCACUGGUAAGGCCCUGGCUGGAGCUGUGUCUGCUCUGCAUUGUAUGCAGAACCGUGGUCCCAGGCACCACAUGUUUGUAUGUCAGGACUUGCAUUUUCCCACACAGUUCUCUGUACACCAUUUGGUAUUUGGUACUAAUUUUUCUAAUUCAGUGUUUUCAAAAUCCAGUGAAGGUGAAAAUCUUACAAUUGGGUAUGUCUGGAAAUACUACUUGCAAUUGUUUAAGAACAGUUUGAAUACCAAAGCUAUUGGUAUACAAAAUAUUUUUUAUUUUUCUAUUUUAUUAUUAUUAUUAUUAUUAUUUUUUGUGAAGGCUGAAAUCGAGAUUCAUUGAGAAAAUCUGUGAAGGAAAACUGCAGACAGACCCCCUGCUACUUCUGUUUUGAAAAAUCUAAAAGAGAACGAAAAAUGACAGCACAUAAUUACAAUGAAAUAGAUCCAUUUGUUAACAGUUCUAGGGUUAAAUUUUGUUAUUGGCAGUAAUAACAAUAUGAAUGCUUUCGUUCAGCAGAGGGCACGCUGUGUUAUUCACAGUGAGGUCAAAAGUUUCCCUGUAGAGUUCCCAAUGAAAGCAGCAUUUGAUUUUGUUAUUGCAUAGAUUACUCUUUUUUUUCUUAAGGCUUAUUUCUGCCUAACCUAAAAUGUUUUCCAAUAUCAAAUACUUUUACAGAACUGAAAGCUAUCUAUCCCAAGCAUAUUUUUCAUUAUGUAUACUUUCAGCUGUCUUAAGUACAUAAAAGUACAUGCUAAAAUUUAUUUAUUUGUAUUAAAACUUCAAUGAGAAAUGAAACAGAAUCGAUACACUAAGGUGAGGGUCUGCAAAAUGGAAAUAGAGGCUGGCUGGCUGCAAAUGAAUGCCAGGAAAGCCAAAAAUUAAUUAAGAUAUUGGCAUGAACAAGGAGGAGUAAGUGAUAUGGGAAGAAUUCUGUAGCGUUAAUAAUCUGGUUUGAAAUAUGGAAAAGAGGAAAAGUUGGGAUGUACCGUGGCACUGCAAAAAUGCAGCUGGGCUCUGAGGGUCUGAGGUGGCAUGUGAACCAGCGUUUACCCAUAGCAACUCUAUUGCUCAAAAAGGGAUGGUGGGAAGGACUGGCAGUUGUGGCCUUCUGACCUAGGAAGGAGCUGGAUAUGGCAAAGAAUACUGCAUACAUUGCUCUGUAAACGUAGACUUGAAAACUCUGUCUAUACUGUUCUUUUGUUUAGUAUGGGUUUGUUUCCUCUAAAGAUCUUAAAACACCAAAAACAUUAUGCAGACCUAGCAGUAGAAACCAGCAUGUGUCAGAAGCUUAGCUGAAUGCUUUUUGCAUUUGUGUGUCUGAGCUCCAUGGUGACGAUAUAACUGGCACAUUUUUACAGUGCUUCACGUAGUAAUUCUACUCAGAUAAAGCUUAAGAACAAUAAUACCCCAUUCCAUACCUUUAAGUUACUGAAUUUAACUUUAUUUCUCUAGCCUGCAAAUAUCUUUUCGUCGUGCAGCCCGUGUGAUGCUUUCCAAAGACUGUUCUGUUUGAUAAUGGAGUGGAUACAUCGUUAAAUCAGUAUUACUUCAGUGACCUAAACUUCUUAGACAUGGCUAGUAUGUGUGCAGGCACUGGUGCAUGGCAAGUUAUCCAAGACAGCAUGCUGAAGAAGAGGACUAUAUUUUAGUCCUUAUACAAGUCAAUGGCUGUGAAUUUUUCUCUUCAUUCUAAUGAUGAAAAUUACAGGAUAUUCUCGCUCUGUACAAUCUGUUCAAUUUGUGUCUGUUGUAUCCACUGUAGAAUGCAAAGGAAGUUGUUGUGCUUUAGAGCUGCUAUUUUGAUCUUUUCAUAGGGGAAAGGAGAGUGUAGAAAUCCUAAUAUCACAACUACUUGUUCAUUUGAAGGUGACUGAAUAAAUACCAGUAACCAGAAGAGCAGAUAAAAUUUUGAGUGUUGCAGAGGUAACUAAGAACUUUUUAGUGAAACUUGAGACUAUUUUAAAUUCUGUCCAAACAAAAAACAAGAUGCUGUGCACUAUUAUUAAAGGCUAUGCUCUGUGCUCAGCUUCAGUCAAUGAGGGCCCAAAAGACUGCAUUUAGCUGUGUGAUAGGUGUAAGUCAAUGGUAUGCAUUCAGCUUAAAUAUUUAUUCAUUACUGAGCUCCAUGUUUCUGAAAAGACAAGCUGAAAUAGGGAAGGGAAACUAAAAGUUUCAAGGUUUUAAUCUGAGAAUCGUAUCCAGAAGGUCUGAGAAACUGAGGGAAGAAUAGCAGAGUUAUUUAGGGAGAUGCAGAAGGGAAAUCAAGAUAAACAUGUAUAAAUAACAGCAGAGAAUGGUGAACUCUUUCUUUUAUGUGUUUUUUGAAAGGAAACAGCAAAUAAAGUGUAACUCCCCAAGGGAAAGAACUUUUUUUUGCGUAACAUAUGAUCAGGUGCCAGGCUCACUGCUUAUUCUGCGAGCAGCUUGCUGUCCAGGAAGCGUUACACUCUAAAUUGUUGCAAUUCAGUGCCUUGGUGUGUCCACUUAUCCCUGGAUUCCUGUAGCAUGUCUUUUCCUUUUUCCUACUGUUAAAUACAUAAUGGAUCAGUAUCCAGCUACAGAUGAGUUUUCUGCUUUCAGAUUUAAUCCCUGGGAUUUGGUCAUGCCUUGGCUGGACCCAGGGGCACUUGCCGGGACUGAGGUACUGGGGACCCCUGUGCUGAGUCUUUGUGCACUUAGCUUCAUAUUAACACACCCUUAUAAAUGCUUGAUGAAAGGAUUGUGGAUGAUUAACAUAUACAUACAUUGCAGAUAUGCAGGAAUAUUAAGUUUGGUAAAUUGCGUUCAACAGUGCCAGUAAAGGGUGUUAAGAACACUUAGACCUACUGUGCCUUUAAGCAACGGUUAAUCCCUUGUUUUACUACUUAGAAAUCCAACUGUUUGUGGCACAUGAAGUGUGUCCAAGUCUUCUUGUGCUGUUAUUAAAUAAGAUUUCUGUUUUUCAGAGAUUGUCUUCACCCUCUCCCAAACAUCGAGACGUGCUUUAAACAGAGACUAGGGAAAGUUAUAAGCUGGUAAGUCUAGCAAGUUGGUCUCAUUGUGGGCGUUAUUGCAGGGAGGUUUAAUGCUCUCUAUAAUCAAUCAGCUGCCUUGUCAGUCAGCCAUUGUCAAAAGACAUUUGUUGCUUGAAGGGGAAAAAAAAAAAAAAAGACACAUCAGUUUCUGGUUACAUGAUCUGGAAACAGUUAACUGUCCAAGGGUUGUAACAACCAGAAAUGGAUACUGUAGCUCCAGGAGCACUCACCAUGUUAGUUAUUUCUGUAAGGAACAGGAUAAAAAAUGUUAAAAAAAAAAAAGGUUAGUUGUUAAUAUGUGCUUCUCAUCAGUUGAUUUUUUUGCACAACCUGCUUCAUUACAGAUCAAGCCGUAGUUACUUUAUUAGUGCUCAAAGUUAAAAGAAAUAUCCUGUCUUAUUCAAACCCAACUCUUUUGAGACUUAUGCUUGUAAAUACUAAUUUAAUUUUAAAGUAUUUUCUACUGUCGUAUCUGCCUUUGUCUGAAAGGGCUUGAAGAAAUAACUUCUACUGGAAAUGCUAUAUUUUAAUACUCAACAAGCUAUGCAAGUAGGUUCCAGGACUGUUUCCAGUGUUGACAUCAACAGAGAAUGACUGAACUCAUAAGGGAAUUGGAGAUUUAGAAAAGCUUAAAUAUCUGCUCAACUGCUGGACUUUGUGUCUACUUCUGUUAUUGAUUGACCGCUGGAGAAGUCUGCUAUAGAGAAAUAUGACUGAGACAGCAUGAAAUAUUUUUUCAGUUAGGAAUGAUCUCAUAAUUCAUGAAUGGCAGUAAGAAGUGGGGCUGUGAAUGAAUUAUAUGGGGACAUCCUAAUGAGCAUGGGCUGGUUUUGAUCCUGUUCUGUUCACUGCAGACUGUCUUAAGCCUAAAAGAAAUGUAGUUCAUACUACAAAAAUGAAAACUGAGGAACGUUGUAUUGGUGGAGCUACAAGCUCUUUGUUUACUUCGUUUAUUUAAAGUAAUCUGUGAGGUAGUAAUGAUGUUUGUCAAGGGGAUUGAAUACCAGCAUGACAUACAAAUAUUUAGUUAAUACAGACUAGUUACAGAAUCACAGGCUGUAGGGGCUGGAAUGGACCUCUAGAGAUCAUAGAGUCCAACCUCUCUGCUACAGCAGAUUCGCUACAGCAGGUUGCACAGGCAGGCGUCCAGAUAGACAUUGAAUAUCUCCAGGGAAGAAGACCUCGCAACCUUUUAGGAAGCUUGUUUCAGUGCUCCGUCACUCUUGCAGUAAAGAAGUUCUUCCUUCUAUUUGUAUGGAUCUUCUAUUCCUGUCAAGCUUCAUUAGUGCUUACAAACAUCAUUAUUGUUGCAGGUAAUUAGCAUGAAAAUUCAGGAAAGAUCUGAAUAUGAACUUUUAUCUCUUCAAGCUCAUUUUCUGUUUAUUCAGGACCUGUUUUCCUAUGUAUUAAACAGCUCUGAAGAUGCCUAUGAAGGCAAGUUAGGAGAGGGGAUACAGGGAGAAGUUGCAGACUUGUAGCCACCAAAAUGAUUAGGUGCAGAUUCUCAAAUAGCUGUGUGUGACCCUGACUGCUGCUGCUUGGAAAUGUCUUAGAUUGUCCUUUCAUGGCCUUGAAUAAUGUUUCUUUUUCCUACCUAAGGCUGAUAGCUAGGAUAUGCUGAUAUUUAUGUCAUACUUGGUCCAGAUAAAAGCUGAGGGAAAAAAUGCACCUAUGGAUGUGGAGAGAGACAUGAUUUGAAUUGGUGAUGCAUACUUGCUUUCUCCAAAGGAGUAGGAUUAUCUUACUGUAAUUAUGUGUAGUUCAUCAGCUGGCUGCCGCCUGGGGGGCUUACCUCACCCACUGAUGAAUUUGGAGAUCCAUACAUUAAGUUUAACUCCGAUGACAAUUGGCUGUAAUGUUCCCUCUUGUCACUGCAGCUGUGGAGGUCAGGCCUAAUGAUAUGCCAAGAGCUCUGUGACAGUUUGCAUACAGACGCAGUUUACUCAGGUCUCAGCACUGCCACUCUCAGAAGAUGAGGAGGUAUUGAACUGUCAAACUGAGACUGAGCAGGUGACAGCUGAUGCAUUUUAGAUCAGCUGCCUUCAUGACUGAUUUAGUAAACCUAACUGAGAGCAUGCAGGCUUUUUCUCCUUCGAUAAUAUGCUUUAAAAAAAAAAAUUAAAGCUGUGAAAAUGUGUUUUGUUUUUAAAUACUACUCUUUAUACCUUCUUUGUACUUUGCAACCUUUAAGCAUAAAAAUGAUUCAGUAUAGAAGAUCUAGGAGGAUUUUUUUCCUAUGGAAUGAAUUGAGAGCACGAGAAUAGGACCAAGCACAGAGUCCUGAGGUUUGCCUCUGGGAAGACCAGGGGGAGAGCUGUGGCGAGAUGAGCAGAGCUGUGCCAUAUCAGUGUGCUUCUCACUGGAAGAAAGGUGGUGACCUGGGGAGGUGACAGAGCCACGUUACUGCAAGGGUCGAUCUAUACAGCACAGUUCUCCAGAGGCUGCUGUUAUUGUUCUCUUGGUAUGUUAAAGGGGGUGAGUUGCAAAAUACUUCAGAAUGCAGUUGUUUUUUGUUUUGCCUUUUUUUUUUAAUGUAUAGAAUUAGCACUAAAAACAGCCUUAGAAAAUGAUAAACCUAAAUGCUUCACUAUUUUUAGGUAAACAUGCAUGUGUAGGAAAAGGGAAACAUCAUUUAAAUCUUGCAUAUCUUAUUAAAGAAAUGCCUUACAGUUCUCGAUGCAGGCCCACUUCCCUAUAUGCUGACAACUCACCUCAGUAUUCACUGCAAUGUAAGUUUCUCUUACUGAAUGUAGUGAUGGAAAACAUCAUCCCAGCACAAUGUUUUCUUUACUGAUUCUGCUGCUGCACAGCUUUGUAUCAUCAAAAACAAAUGCCAUUUGGAUUACAAAGAACAAGAAUGUUAUCAGGAGAUAUCUCUGAAUUGCCUUCUGUAAACUUAUCUAAUGUUUAUUUCAAAGAUGUAUUGAAUGUUUAGAUGCUGAUUCUCCACAGGAUUCUUGCUUUUCCUUUAAAUUAUUCCAGAAUCUUCUUUUUCCUGUUGGUAGAGUAAGUUCUCCUCUUUGCCUUUGUUAACGUCUGUGCAUGACACUGCAGUCCCUACAGCUGCACAUAGAUCAUCAAAUGUUGCCUGAAUGUUGGUGCUCCUCAUGUCUGAAAUGUGGGGCUAGAUGCUGGAGUCUUGCCUCCUAAGUCAAGAUGACAGGCUGCGCUCAAGCAAUGAUGCCUUGUCAUCAUUCAACAUCCUUGCCAUCAGAAAGAGAUAAACACAGCAGCGAAAUGCACAAAGUAUGUGUUGUUAAUAAGGGAGGAAAUAUUCAUUUUAGUAGUGCAAUAGAAUCUUUUCCCCUAUUCCCUUUAUUCUCUACUCUUGUGCAUGGAUUAUCAUUCUGCAUAAUAUGCAGGAAGACACACUUGAGAUAUAGUUAGCUCGAGGGAAAUAGUGCACACCCGAGCUAAAAGUAUUUCCUAGGACAGAAAGAGACAGAUUUAUUGUAGGGUCUGGGAUUUGUGGGGCCGUGUGAGUGAGGUAAUCUUUCCCUUUUCAAGUCAAAUGUGCACAGAAAUUUUAGGGAAUUGUCUGUUGGAGACCAUGCUACUGGCAUACGAGAAUUCAUUCUGAAAGAAAAUGUGAAUUCUAGCUUUGUUAAUGUUAUUUCUGCUUCUCGAUAAAUGCAUCAAGGUGGUACAAAGGCAAAGGAGUGCUGACAGAUCUGAUAAGCCAGUCAGGAUUCCUCAGCCCAAAUGAUUAUAGUCAGUGUUGUUUGUAUAUGAAUUGUUGUUUCUUCUUCGCUGUAGAGUAGCUGUUUGUUUAGCUGAGAAAGGAAAAAUAACAGAGAAACUUGCUGUGAUUGCUGCUGAAGAAGUAUAUUCAGAUCUUAGUCUAAAAUCAAGUCACUCCAACAGCGUUGUGCUUUGCUCUGUAGGGUUGUAGUUUUCAACCUGUUUUGAUCUGUGAACCUCUCAACCUUUUUCACUGAAGGUACAGAUCUCUGUAUAGUGAGUUAAAACCCCACUGACAAUCAGCUUGAAUUUUUAAUGCUUUCUUUUCAAGUUACCCUUGCAGAUAUCCACCAACCUUGAGUGCUCUGUGGACUACAUCUUGAAAACCAUUGCUCUGAGGAACUAGUGAGGUCGAGUUGAGACUAAUGCUGCUAAAAUUUGAAGAUUUUGAUUGUGAUAAAAAAUAUUCUGAUGUGGGAAGGGGGAAAAUAACAGUUCUGAAGUUGGCAGUUGAUAGUACUACCUUUGAAAGUUACUUUUCUUUGUGAAUUUCAAGCAAGCCUUGGACACUUGGGCACUGAUGAGAGACCAAGGACACAGGUGACUGCUGGGUGAGUAGUGCUUGGUUUUGCAGCAUCGGAGAAUCCUGGAUCCUGAAAGCUCAAAAAAUUGUUUUUAGUGGGAUUGAAUUGGGAAAACAAGCUAAGUUUUCCCAAAGGAAGGACUCUUGAAGUUUGUUAGAAGAAAUAAUUUGGGGAAUUGGUUUUGAUUGACAUUUCCUUUCUGAAAAUGAGUUUUGAUUAAAAACAAACAAAAAAAACCAUUAGCUAGGACUGAGAUCCAAGCCCAGACUUUUCAAGUGCUGUAGCAUGAAGACUGAAGGUGAUCUAGAGAAGUAAUAUGGGAAGGUCCUGGUGGGGGUGGUUGCUAGGGAGAAUUUCCCAUUAUUCAUUGAACUAAAUUUUAAGGUUCCUAUAGAAUUUUGUUGUAAAAAUAAAAAUAAAAAAGAGGCAGAGAGAGUACAGGAAUUGUGAAGUUAACAUCAGGCUUUAAAUUUCAUGGUUUCUUUUCUUUGGAGACCUUUUCCCUGUGAGAAAUUAUUGGCAAAGGGAAUAACUAUUUCUUUGUGCCCACAGCCAGAACUGAUCUUGUUUUUUGUUGGGUUGUUUUUGUUUUGUUUCUGUGCUUACAUCUGAAUCUCCCUGCUGUCUAUCAACCUUCCUUUGGCUGCAUAGGUGGCUACAAGGUGGAAUUAUAUUCUGCAAAAGCCAUGCUUUCUCCAAGAUACUACAAUGCUGCUUAAUUGAAAACCUUAUGUCUUACUUCUGUAGUUCUCAAUAUUAAUCCACUCUCUUCUAUUUCUUUAACUUCUGGCUGCAGGAUGACUUUUGCAGUAAGGAGAAACGGCUAAAAAUCAAUGAAAAGCUUUUUUAAAAUUGUCAUGCAUUAAUUAAUAUGUGUGCUUGGCAUAGAUUCUCAAAAGCAGUCAAAGGAAAUUUAUGUCAGGAAAAGGAUGCUGGCAAGGAGGAGAUGUCUCUAAGGCAUUUGGAUUAGGUGCUAAUAGCUAAAGCCUUUGUAAAUAGGAUGAGGGGUGACUAGUAUUUUGUUUGUUUGUUCUUUGUUUUGAAGGUACCUUUGUGGGGUUUUUUUUUCUACUCUUUGCAACUCAUGGAAAAUAGGAUAAUGCCUAUUUAGACUACUGAGAUCAUGAGGAGGAAGAUGGCAGCUAACUCGAUGCUUUUUAUCUGCUUUUUUUCUAAACUGGUGUCUUCUGAGGAAAGCACAUUUGUAUUUUAGAUUUUGGUGGACAAUGGAUUGCAUCCUUUACACAGUCAGAGAGAGAAAAGGCAUUAUGUGUGAAGUGUCAACUUAUUUGAUACCUUGACUGUAGCAUUAAAAAGGAGGAGGAAUUUCUACUAGCUAAAAGAAGCUUAUUGAAAAAAAUAUUUGCUACUUCAAAUGUGUGGAGUAUACCAAGUUUGGGGAGAGGGAUGAGUGAGAUACAUGGUAUCAUAUUUCUGACUCCGUGCUUGAGACAUUUGAUUAGAUCAAGUAUUGGAAUGGCUAGCAAGUGCUACUGGACAAGAGCCUUUGGAGAUCUAUUUACUGUAAAAACCUCUGUUUUAGUAACAAAAAAUAUAAAGCUUCUCUUGCCUCAGAGGUACUAAUAACACAAGGUUUCCAUAUGCAUGUAUAUUUGCAGAAUUAAACUUUGACCAUCAUUUGCUUUUACUUUUAUUUAUUUAUUUAUUUAUGAGAACAAGAGUCUUACCUCAGUUGAGGUCAACAAUGUUAUGGAAAUAAGUGAUUAUAAUAAUAAUUAAUCAACUGUAAUUAUUACAGUAAAUAACUGUAAGAUGCCACUGCUGUGAAAUUUACGCUAAGGAAUCCAUUUUAGCAGAGGGUUAGACAAGAUGAGGUCCCUUCUAACACCUAUGAUUCUGUGAUACAUAUGUGGUGGUAUAUAGGUAGAGAACAUUGAUUUGGAUGCAGAAAGAAUUAAACGUUUGUUUGAUUAAUUGUGUUCACUGAGAAUCACUUUGAUUUGGCGUUCACCACUCUAGUAAGUAGUUUCCAGCUUACUAUUUAGCUAAAAGAAUAGUUGACAAGAUUUUUCACUUAGGUAAAUAUGCAGUGUAAUUUUCUUAUAAUUUAUACAUGUGCUUAAAAAAAAAAAAAAAAGAACUGCCACAUAAGUUUAUCAUCUGUUUUCUGCUGAAGUGGGAUGGUGCUUGGGUUACCUGCCCUGCAGCUCCCUAUGCUAGUAGGGAUGAGGGGAAUGGAGAGUUUGUAGAGACCAUUGAAUUUCUCAGUAGGGUACGAAUUAGUGCUUGUGAGAAGGAGUGGAAGAAUACUAGCUGUAAGACUCCACAUAGGCGCUGACAGCACUCUUCUCAGCAGGGUUUUCUCUAAUGCAUAGGAGCCAAAUCUCUGAAAUAACACUUAUGUUUUAUUAGAAUAGCAAAGAUUAUAGUUGUCUUGUCCACAGUGAAUUUGAUCUUGUCCUCUGACUAAUUUCCUAUUUCUUCCCCUAGAUACCAGAAUUAGCAAUUCAGUAACUGUUGCUGCGAUUCAACAUUGCUAGUUAAUGUAUAAUUUAAGAUUGCUUAAAAUUAUUCAAAGCAGGUUUAGAAUGCAAAUAUGUUUUAGAAUAAUGUAUUUAAAUGUAGAAAUCUAGAUUUGUGGGUUUUUUUCUGUGGUUAUUUGAUGCAUAUGACCUUUCUCUUAAAACAUUGAGAUUUCACCUGUAGGGAUGAGAAAAGUUUAAAAAGAAAUCAGUUUCCAUGCUGGAUCCUUUUAUUAUGGACCUUGUGUCAAGUAGUGGACAUAGUAUGAAAUCUUCCCUUCCAGGAAAGUGGAAAUGCCAGAGAAAUAGAUUGGAAAGAAAUUCUAUUCUACUUUUCUUUCACCUUCCUGUAGGUGGAGGAGGACAGUCCUGUUACCACAAUCCUUGUGCACUACCUGCAUGUGCCCAUGGGCUUCCCAUAGUGGGCAGUCUGCCCAGCUCAGUGUGCGAAGAGUAACAGGAUUAUUUGGGAGGAUGAUCAAUUCUCUUUCAGGUACUGCAGAUCUUCUUGAGAGCAUGUGAAGUAGCAUUAGCUUCUCUCCAUUCUUGUCCAUUUGCAUGUAAAUGUAGGCUGUGUUGGCAGCACUACCUAAAACUGGCCUGUGACAGAUAGCUGUUUCCCAUUACGGUGUGCAAAGCAGGCUGAUAAUGUAGCCUAGCAUGUCAUCGUGAACUGGCAGAAGCAGCAGGCUGAGAUGAUAAGUAGAGCUGGCUAGGUCUUGCCUUUUCCUCUCUGUGAAUAAGCUUUAAGUGCUCAUGAAGCUGCUGCAUGGCUUCCUCUUCCUUGUCACAAGCCCUGGUUUCCAAGCGUAGCUGUGAUUAAGGCAAAAAAAAAACAAACAAAAAACAAACAAACAAAAAAACAAGCAACAAACACCACAGCGGAUAAGAAGAUUUGUGACGUGAAACUGAAGAGCUUGUUUUGAGAAUCUUUUUCCAAGCAGGACGUGCCAGUGAGAUGCAUAAAAAAAAGGUACUGCUGAUUUAAAGUACUUGGAGAAAAGGCAUUGGCUUGGAGAGCAGUACUGGCAGUAAAUGUAUUUUCAACUUGCAGUCUCAGUACUUAAUUUUCAAGCUCCAGUAUGGGUUUUUCCCCAAAUCCCUAGUUAUAUAGUUCAAAGAGAUGAAGUUCUUGGAUUAUUGUCUCUCUCUCUCUCCUGCCAAGGAGCCUGCAAAACUACUUCUAGAGCCUGCCUAUAGAGUCUAUUGAAUAUAAUGAUUCUGUGGCAUGUUUUGAAGCAUAAGUGUACACUUCAUGGGAAUAUAUUAAGCAUAAACUGAACUUAAGGUGAAGGUCUUGCAAUGGGUGGAAAAAUAACCUGGCUGAUAGGCAACAAUUCAUUCAAUUAGGUUUCCGAGAAAUUGGUAGAUUUCUUUUGCAUGUACUCAUCCCAACCGUCUAACUCUUCUUAAUUUUACAAAAACCAGACAAAAACAACAACAGAAGUCACGAACAUCUCACCUACACAGGGAAUAAUUGAAUAAUUUUACUCUUCAUCAUAGUUUCUUGUUUUAUCAAGGAAAUAGAAAACAAUAUACGUAUUUGUGCACUGAUCAGCAUUCCUUUGAAUUUAGACGUCCUACAGACUUAUACAUAGCAAAUUUUCAGUCCUAUUUUAUAAUAUUCUCUCCACAAGUUUAAUGAACAUUGCACAUGAUUUAGAAGGAAUCCACUGUUGUGCGUUCAAAAAUCUAAACUUAUUCCUACAGCAUGUCUAAAAAGGAAUGAAGCAGGUCAAACAUUCGCAAUGAUCAGUGUAUUCGUGCCUGAUCUGUGGAGUUCUUUAUAACUAAUCAGUAUUUUUUUUUUUAUUUUUUAGGACAAAUCCAAUAAUCCUUAACUGAGUGAAAUCCCUUGUAAAUUUGUCAUGUUCUAUGCAAGUGGAGAUUGGAUAUUAACCAAAUAUGAAGAUGAGACUUGUAAAAUUUUUUAUUUCAAGAGUCCAUGGAGACUGCUUAUAUUGCUACCAGAAUCAACUAAUCACAAGCUUUGAGUGAGGUUUGAAGGAAGAUUCUGAGGCUAGUGUUAAAUCAGUCAUACUGACAAAAAUGCUUCUAGCUGUACAGGCUAUUAAAGGAAAAUUAUUAAAUCCGGAGCUGUGGAACAGGAGAUGUUUAGAGCACUGACAUACCACUUUACAAGCAACUUCCUGGAUUUACUAGGCUUCCAAACUUGCAGUGAGUUUAAUUAAAGAUGAUAGGUUGGGAAGGAAGUCAGAAAAUGCAGGAAAGAGAAAGUUUUUACUUAUUUGCUGUAUAACUUCUUUUCCGUCUCUUCUUCCCUCAAAACAGCCUUCCUAGAACUCCUUUGUAGGCAGAUUUUCUGCAGAUAAACCACUGAGAAAUCAGACUCAAUUAGCUCUAGAAAAAUUUUAGUGCUAGUGUUAUGGCUGAAAACUCACCCUAAAAUAAUGAAUCGUUUAUUUUGUUUCUUAGGACAUGUCUUCCAUGACUGUCCAUGAGGAAGAACAAUUUUUGAUGUUUAAAAAAAAAAAAAAGAAAUAUAAUGAAAAUCUCACUUUGGGAAUACAUAGAAAAAAUUGGCUAUGUUCCCAGAUUACUGAAUAAAAGUCCAAGCACUUUCAGUAAGAUCAGUGCAAUUCUGAAAUUCGAACUGAUCUUAUUUUAUGCUGGAUGUUUUAAUUUGACCGUUUCUUCUGAGUUUUCCAUGGAGAAACAGAGUAGGGAAUAGUAUAUAUAUUGUUAAUAUAAAAUAUAUUGCUGUCCAUCACACAGCUUCAUUCACUUUUACCUUCCAGAAUAGCGGUAGAAUGGAGAACUUUUUAAGGCAUGGAGUAUUUGGCUUGCUAGGCCCAUGUAGUUUCUCUGGGUUUUUCAUGGAGGCUAAUAAAUAUCUUCAGUAAAUUCCUCAUUCUCUGUUAUUUUGGAAUAACCAUACUUGUUCCACUGGUAUUGUUCUACAAAUUUGAAUUACAAUGUUUUAGAUCAGAAUUGUACUUCUGAGUAUGUGUGUUUGGGCCUUUCCAGAAGGUCUUGGUAACAUGUUCAUUGGAUAUGUGUGUAUGACAUGUGAAUUCCUGAUACAAUAUAAUAUCUAUGAUAGUAUUAUUUUGCAAGUUUCCUCACCCUUUGUUGAAAAUACAAACAAGAAAGCUUUGAAAAUUCAGUAGCAGUCUUAAGGAGAAGGAUCCGUCUGGUAGUAGCAAUUCCAUCAGCAGCCCUGAGAACAGCAGUGUGGGAAAUGGCAACAGUCGACUUUGCAGUUUUGUGAUCAUCACUGACAUCCAGUCACCUUUCAGUAGCCUCCAUCAAUAAGGUGGCAGGUAGGCUCUAGGUAUGUCAAGUCUCGAUUUGUUCUUGAGUUAUGCCAGUGUUAGGUCUUGGAAAAUAUUUUUUUCCUAUUUCUGUAUAGAAAUAUUUAUAUUAGUACAGUGCUGAAUAUGGAUUGAGUCAAGCCAGUCUAAGAAUGCCUUCAGCAAUAUAUUUUACUUUCUGGGUGUACACAGCUAUUGCAGCCACAGUUUCAUGUAGUUCAUUGGCUUCCACACUAAGCAGUGUUGCAUGCCUUUAACAAGCUGUUGGAAAUAGCUUGAACUCCAGUGGGCUGCUGCUGUUGCUGCCUACAGUGACAGUUUUGUGACUUUUACAGUUUCACUCAGAAUUUUUCCUUCCAUUUCUUUUCAGAAUGUUAAUGGGCUUAUAUGUACUUUGGGAUACUGUGAGUGUGAGAAGAACAACAGGGAAAGAAAGUAAAGGAAUAGUAAUGUGGCCUCUGGCAUCUCCUUUGUGAGAGCAUCCAUCUCAGUCUGCAUGGUGUAGGAGAACAUUUUAAACUUAUUCUUGGUGCACGUAAAAGGCAUUGCUCUUGAGCAUUAGUCCUUUUUAGGUAUUCCUCUGAGCCUAAACUUGAGGACCUGUUUAAAUGAAAGAUGUCUGUGGGUUUCAGAAUUAGCUUUUCUGCUUUGUUGUUUCCAUUCUUGAACAGAAGAAAAGUAUCAUUGUUUGCAUUCACGAAAGGACAGUUUAUACGUGUCUGACUUCUUGCAAAUGCAAUCCAAGGAUGUCAUUAAGAGGGGCAUCUUGGAGGGACAAGGCAAAGCAAUGCCAAAAUAACAAAUCUCAAUAAGGAUCACUUAAUGUGAAGUACCAGGGGAAUUUGAGAGUCAAAGCAAUGUUUCUAUACCAUGUGGCUCUAAAUUCAGGCAGGAACUAAUUGGGGAUUUUCAAUAUUGCUUUCUCUGGGGGAAAUGCCUAAUCAGUGGGUCUGCUGUGGAUGUACACCUGUUUUUAUUCAAUUAAAUAUGAUACACAAAGUGAAAUCUGCAGCCUCUUCAUCCCAGAGGCCCUGUAAAUCUAAGAGUGGGACAAUAAGCAGCAGGUGGUAACAGGCAGGUGGCUUCCUAAAAAGAAAGGGUGGAAGAACAUUUCCAUGGCAGUAGGACAUCCCGAGAAAAGGCAUUUCUGUAUUCAGUAAUUUUGAUUUGCUUUGUUUAUAUGAACUUUCAUAGUUCGGUAUUCUCCUUUCAUGAAAUUUCAAAUACUUAAUUCAGUUAUUUGCAGAUGCUGUCUUAUUUCAAACGUUAUUUCUCUAGAACGGUUUAUAACAGGAAGCAUUGCUGUACAUGUAUUGAAGUCUUGUUUUUGUUUCCUCAGCCCUCCCCUCCUCUUGCCAUCCUGAUGGAGACAUUAAUGUAUCCCAAUAAGUGUCACUUACCAGUAAUUGGUCUCUAUUCUUUGAGCUUCUCUUUCUGAUAGCAACCAUAUUUUGGGCCAUAGUGAAACCCUUCUGACCUGAUUAUGUGAUUCCAAUCAGCCGUGUGCUGAACUGCCCAAAUGACCCACUGAUGGAGAAGCUGUGGUUUGGAGCUCAGUUCCUCUGUCAUGGACAGGCAGAGGUGUAUUUCAUCCUCCAUGACAAAUUUGGUUUCUUUCCUAUUUUUCAGCUUCCAGUUUUCAGUUUGAGACAGUGUGUGUUCCCAGGUGCUUUUUAUAUUCAGGACAAGUUCUUUCUGCGAUCACCUCACUCUGAAUGAGACUUCAGUAGCAGAUAGCUUUUUAUACUUUAAAUGUGAAUUUCAGCGUUGGUUAAGCAAGAAAUUAAUUCUGACCUGCCUUCUGUACCAAACCUGCCAAAUGAAUGGCAAUUAACUCUGGACUGUUAAACUUGAAAAGCUUCUCUGCAACUUCUGGGAGCUGUCCUGGAACUUCUUUACGAAAGGGAAUAAAAAAAAACUGCAGCUUCUGUUUAUUUAUUAUUUUUAUUUGGUGCGAGGAGGGGAAAAGUAUACGGGUAUUUUAAUAUCCUGUCUCCAACUUCAUUUCUAACUUCCUCAGGUUCCAUACAGGAGGAGCUGCCACAGUCUCAAGUUCCAAGGUGAACUCUGGUAUUUUUUUGCUUCUUCCCUUUGGCAGUUCUGCUACCUAAAGAUAGGGGUUAGGCUAACAGGUGGAUUGUAGGUUGUGUUGUUUAACACUGUCUGAAGUUUUGUUAUCAGGGUUUUGUUUUGCUGUGUCUGUAGCUGCAACAAUUUUUUUUUCCUGCUCUCAAUGUAUUCCAAGAAGCAAACAAGCAAAUUCUUUUCCAUAGCUGAAUAAGUAGGCAUUCACAUAGCCCUAGGACCUGUUGGUGGAAGUUGUUGUUUGAUGGGGGUAUACAUCCCACCGCUGAGCGCAUAUUUUCCUGUUGUCACUGGGCCCAUUGGCUGUGGCUGCCUGGCUCUGUGGCUCCGGUUAAUGGUGGCCUGUCCUUCAGGUCCUCUCCCACCAAUUUGCUUCUUCAGCCUUGAAAGUAUUCCUAUGGUUUUCUCACUGUAACUGGAAAUAAUAUCUUUUGCAUUGUAACCUAGAACAGCAUCCUCUGCACAGACAAAUGCAACAGUAAUAUUUAACAGAUAAAUUGACUGAAGUUACAAAUUAUAGACACAAAUGGAUAGAAAAUUAUCAGGCAUUUAAUACUAUAAUUACUCAGCAAAGCAGAGAGGCUAUGGUUUUGGUUUAUGGAGCAGUGACAAUCUUAGUGCUAUCUAGUGAAAUUUGCUAAGCCUUUUAAAGCAAGAUACUCACUUUGCUCUGUAUGUGCUAAGUGUUUGGCUUUCCCUGCCUGACACUUGUAUACUACAAGCCCUUCUGUACACAUGGUGAGAUAGACACAUCGCACUCAUUGAAGGACUCGUGAUUGACUGAGCUGCAGCAUUCCCGAAGCUUCAAGAAAGGUUUUCACUUGACGGUCUUUCCCACAGGAGUUCACAUUUGCUGUUUUAUCUUUGGGAGUGAGCUUAGUGACAGAUGCACACCAAGAGCCAGGAAGAAAUGCCAUGGGAGCUGCUUAACAGCAUUCAGAUGCAGAGAUGGCAUUUGAUUCCCAGGCAUCUUCGCUGCAUCCACUACAUAAGAAAUCUAAAUCAGGAAACCCUACAGGGUAUCAGGAAAGUAGACCUCUGAUCUGUGCGCUUUUGCCAUUGAAAACCAAGUCCUGCCUCUGAAACAAUAAACAAAUCUAAAGGUUAUUGAAUAACUUGCAUUCAUUUCAGUGCAGUCAGUAAAGUGGCAGAAUAGCAGGUAUGUGGGCAUACAACUGUGUGCCAUAGGACUAUGAGAGCUCUCUGACAACCUGUUAACAGGUUGCCUUACAUUCUCAGUGUCGUUGUUUUCAUUUAGUGUAGAAAUUGUAUUAGUCUAAUUCCUACAUGUUGUUUAAUCAAAAUGCUCUGGCUGUGUUUUAAACCGAGUACCAUUCUUUGGAAACGGCUCCCAGUGUCUGUUACAUAUCCCAAAUACUCCGUAAGAUAUAGCAAAGCCUGAUCUGUUUCUUUUGCAAUUUGGGUUUUUCUGCAUUCAAGCUAGUUUAUAUUUUAUAAAUAUCUGUGGAUGGGUAAAUGAAGCUCUGCAGUAAUUUUUUUUCUUUCUCUUUAGAUUUAUAGUGUGCGAAAUCUAAAAUACCUUAGGAGUACACAUGCUAAUAUUAUGUAGAUAGUUUGCCUUUCAUUCACUGGAAAAGCAAUUUUUUUUUUUUUUUGCAAUUCAUUUGGUAUUGUGAAAUUAAGGAAGUUGCUAGAAAUGAAUGUAAAAGCAAAUGAAUAGAUGAGAAAAGUGAUAAAAAUAUAAUCAUUGCCACUGUAAGAUAAGGUGCUUGAUGAUGUCAGAACUGUGAAUUGCUGAUGAAGUUUGAAGUAAUUCCAUUUUGCAUGUUAUUUUAAAAUUCUCAUAUAAAGCAAUUGAUGUAAAUGUAGAGCCUUUGAAAUACAAAGAAUUAACCUCACCCUCCAGACAUGAUGCUUUAGGUUAAAAAUAAUAGAAACAUAAAUCUUGUGUAAGUCUUAUUAAAAAAAGAAAUAUCUGCGCUAUCUGAGUUGGAUUUCUUUCAACCAAAAACUCCUAUUCUGAAAUGCUACUGUUCUGACAGUGUGACAAAUUGCAGGAACAAAUGCUAAAUAGUUAAAUGGACAAGUGAUGGAUGGCCUCAUAAGCCUUGCAGGGCAGCCUGUGUAAGAUACUAAUUGGUUCUGUGGAACUGGUUUUAGUCAAUAAAUUCACUUGAGAGGUUUUUGCGUGCAUGUGUGUGUGCGUGUUAGAUAUCUGUGAAGAAAGCAGUGCUGUAGGUGACAAACUUCUUGCAAUGCAUUAGGCCACCAACAGCUUAAUUUUGCCCUCCAUACCAUCUGCCUUCGUUCAAGGAUAUAACCUACUAAAAACCUAUUAGUGAUGCAUUGCUGUCUCUCAAAUGCUUCUGAGUUAUGAGUUUAUUUGGAAGCCUCCAGAUUAUUUUGAUGCUAAGAAAAAUGCCCACAUUAAAUUUUCCAGUGUUUGCAAUUGCUCUUCCCCCACCCCCGUCUCCUGCAAUAGAUUCUGCCACCAUUGCUCACUCUGAGCAAUACUUCCUAUUGCAGAUGGUGUCUAUAUUGGUGAACUCUCCUAGUGAAACAUGCUGUCAAGGUGAGCAGAGACGAUUAGAGUCCCGCCCUUGGGACCAGAGCCAGAAAAAAGCUGAGCAGCCUUUUUUGGUGCUGCAUUAGAAGUUGUUUUCAGGACUCUUUGGAUUUAGGCUCGGGUUGCUCUGGUUUGAAAUCCCUCAGCUUCACUGAGCCCUGCCAGCUGAGCUGUGGCAUCCCCAGGGGCAGGUAACUACUAUGCAUCCCUUAACACCCUAGCUUGGGAAGAAUUUGCAUCUUGUGCUACUGAGCUGGAGGGAGCUGUACCCUUCACGAGGCCUCACUGCACUCUGCUGGCCGACAGAUAGGAGUGGGCUGUGCUGUGGAGCCCGAGGAACUGGGGUAUGGAGAGCCAGCUGCAGAGAGCUUCAUUUCAUCAGCUAUAUGUCUUUGCAGGCAGCGGCCCGAUCUUCCAAAGUGUGGGAAGAGAAGAUAAUGGCAUUUGUUAUGGGCCUGGACAGAUCGGUGUAAGGGCGAAAGCUCUCAUUCCUUUGUUUCCCAGUGGCUUCUCACUCAGCAGCCCAGCUACUGCGAGCACUGUGCGGGUACCCACUCUGCUACUGCCUUGCUUGGCCUCCAGCGUGACCUGUGCAUGCACAGCAUGGUUUGGAGCUGAAAAGAACAGCCCUGGAGCUCCUGCCUUUUAAGUCCUUAAAGCCUUUGCUGAGUGUGGUGCACAGUGAUUUCAGGGGAAAUAUGAGGCACUGGGUUUGUUCUUCGAUGUAUUAAAAACAAUAAUUUUGUCAGUGCUAGGAAGAAGUUGUUUUCGUGGAUAACUUGAAAAAAAAAAAUACCCACACGAAAAAGAGCUUCAAUAAGUGAGUUAGGGCAGAGAGAAGAGUUGAGAUGAUUUCCUAGCUCAGCAGGUAAUAAUUUCCCAUUCAGUAAAAUAGGAUUGAUUGAUUCUGAAAACAUAAGGACUUAAUCUAAAGUUAAUCUAGAAUUUAAAUAACACGGAAGUUAAGGGGAAAAUUCAGCUUCAGGUCUCAGCUCCAUUGUGAUCCCAACUGUUUCAAGGUAAAGCCUACUUCUGGGGGAGAGUGAGCUAUGUCUCAAUCUCAAUCUACUCUGGGCUCACCAGAACAGGAAAAACAUGAUUUGUCACUAAAAAAAGACAAUUGGGAUAGUUAUAUAACGAGAAUACCAAUAGUCUUUUCUCUAGAUCCUUAUGCGUUAUUAUUCUUUAUGACAAAAAAAGAAUUCCAGUGAAAGCUUAUACUUGAGAAAUUACCUGUACGUAGAAGGUAGGCUUAUGGUGCAGGUCAGCUGACUGAGGUGUGCAAUGGGCUGAAUGGAUUUGCAGAUCAUCAGACAAAAGGGUUGAAUUAUGAGUUAAGAGCUAUUCAUGAUUCUGUGAUUCUGUUAGGGGAAACUUGCUGGAUUUAUGGCCACCUGUGAAUUGAGGGAUAAAUACAGUGUAUUUUCCUUUUGCAUUUAAUCAGACUCUGUGGCUCCAGAGCAAAGGCCCACGCGUCUCUCUGGAGUGCAUUUAUAAUGAAUAUUUUAGUUCAUUAAUACAAAGGAUUGUGACUGUACACAAAACAAAACAAACAAACAUUAUGUGAUCUCCAAUACACUGAUCUGUAUUUAUGAUUGUAUAAAAGCAUGAGGUAGAAUCAUUUCGGAUACGUAGCCAUAAAGUUUAACUACUGAAUCAACCAACGAUGAGAUUUUCUAUGUAACUAAGACAAUUUUUAUAAAAGCAUUUUGUUUUUCUUGUUAAAGUCGUUUUUUGAGCGUAGAGCUAGUUUUUGUGGGUUUUGCAUUGUAGAAUAUAGCACACUUGCCUAGACACCAUGUGUAAUGAAUGUUUACAUCAACAUCAUGUAUUCAUAAUGUGGCCUUUAAAAUGCUGUUAUAGGCAAUUUGGCCAUCUGCAAGCAAUGUUGUGCCAAGUGAAGUGAUGUCACGACACAGAACACUCCAGUGAGAGGUCAUCAAAUUUAAAUAUACUUAAUUCUUCUAAAGCUACUUUCAGGAUGACGAACUGACAUCCAUUUUCUUGUCAGUCAACAGGAGAUGAAGGCCUGAAGCCCAGCCGGUUGUAGGAAAUCUCUCCUUUGAAUUUAGCUUGGGUAUUACAAGUGCAAAGUACUCAUUCUGUAUAAAGAUGUUUUACUUAGGAUGUAUGUGUUAAAAUAAUGUUGUGAACCGCAAAAGAUUUUGAGUUUCUGUAGAAAUCCAUUAGUUGCUUCCAAAAGGAAGAUUUUGGUGUGCUUUGAGUACUAUUGAUAAGAGAACUGCUCUAAAAGCUGCUCUCAGUUUCCAAAGUUUAGUGUAACUUAAAUGUGUUUUAAGUUAAAAGCUUAAUUUCAAGUACUUUAUGAAACACAUACCUGAUGAGCUGAUAUGUUUGCUUCACUUGCGUAUUUAGGAACCCCUGUGUUUAUAAAGUGUUGUGUCAUAUCUGUGGGAGAAAAUACAGCUGCUCAUAAGUUUGACUAUAAGAAAUUUGCUGACCUGCUGGGUUCAUUAGCGGUUCAGAGUUCUAUUGCUUAACCUUUAUAAAAGAUUUUGAAGUGUAUGCACGUAUGUCUUUUGAAAAAACCUGAAUGCGCAAUGUUAGAAGAGAAAAUGGAGAGGCUGAAGGAAUAAAACUGCCAAAUGUCAAACUCACAAGGACCCACUGAAAUUCAGGACAAAAUCCAAUUUCAGGUAAAUUCUUAAGCUACCAUCUGUUCUGUUCACAAGUAUCUUUUAUAUACUAUAAAUAUACUAUACAGUAACAGCUUCCCAGCUGUGAAGAGCCCAUUUGCUUGACUGUUCUUUUAAUUUCUCUAUAUAAGUUUGGUUUUGAAUUUGGCCAUCUGCCUAGAUGCCAGUGUGAUAGGCAUUAAUAAAAUAUAGUAUGAAGAAGAAAUUAAAACAUCUGCUAAAAUUAAUAGGAAAAACGUUCUAUUCAGCCUAGUAGGAAAUACAAUAGCAUGGAAAAAUGGAGGAGUCUGAAUUGGUGAUCAUACUUCUGAGAUAUGCAGAUAAUAAAGAGGGACAUUUGGCAUCUGAUCCAGCAAGUCUCUGAAUUUGACUGUAAGCAUGUGAGUAACCCCAUUCUUGGAUUACUUGCACAUAAACCUAAAAUAAGCAUGUUAGCUGAAAGAAUUAGACAUCCAGAAACACUUUUUACAUCCCAGUACAGUUAUAUAGUUAUCAGAGAUUUAUUUUACUGUUCAAUAUAAUCCCUAACAGCUGCAGUUUUAUUGGGAAGGUAAGACGACUGUCAUUCCAUCUUUGUUGCUGCUGUAUACAUUACACAGAAGCCUAGAUGAGUAACCCUGCAUUCUCCCAAAAGCCUUGGCUGUGUCUGACUUUGCCUGGGAGAGAAGCCCAAGGACAGACUGCCUGUUAGGAUUUUCCCAUUAAUUAUUUUCUAUGCGCAUGUGUGUCUUCACAUCACUUGUAUUACUGGAGCUGUGUUCAGGGCUGUUAGUUCACUGCCAAACCUGAGUGAGGUAUUUCCUACAGGCUAGGAGUUUGCAGAACACAAUUAUACCAACCAUGCUGUCAGAGGAGCACAUAAGCAAAAGAAGGUUACUUUUAACUUAGGCAGUGCAGACUAUAUUAAUUUCUCCUGCCUCUCUGGUUUAUAAGGGAGCUUGACUUAAAGUCAUCGUGAAGAAGGUUAGGGAUCUGGUAGAGCCAAGUUAGUCUUGCUCAUCACAGAUAGUAAAACAAGGGACAGUGAGCACAAGGGACAACUUGAAAGGUUCAAACUGGACAUUAGCAAGAGCUUCCUCAUGAGGAGGAUAGUUUACCACUAGGAAUGGUUGUCUGGGAAGGUUGUGAUACAAAUCCUCAUCCCUAGAGGGUUUGGGAGUUUGUUCAGACAAUACUGUGGCUGGCCAACCCUGGGUUUUUCCACCUCCUUUAAGUGCGAGGUAAGUCUGUAGUUGUUCGAGAAGUAUCUUCCAACCACCUUGUUUUCUCAGAUGUUAGCUCAGACAAAAACAUGCUCUCUCUCCAGCAGAAAUCAGAAAGAGGCACUUCGGAGAGGUAGUGGGAAAGAGGGAGGGUAUGUUUACCCUCAGUAUUCCCUAGUAAUCUGGCAAUAAAUGGUCAGGCAUUUCCAAAUGAAAAGUGUUGUCUCUAUUUAUUUAGUAAUUGUGAACAAGUUUGGCUAGUACAUUUAGAUUUUUUUUUUAAAAUUACAAGUUAUUUCAACUGUGAUAUAUACUAAAAUUGAUCUUGUUUUAGAGUUAUGAUUUCAAUGUUUAAUGAAGGAAUAUUUUUGAGAAAAACAUUUUAAAUUUAAUUAAAUUUUACUGUCAGCUGUGUCUUACUGCUGCUUUGCAGAUAGGAAGGAAAAGAAGUUCAAAUUCCUGUUCAUUAGUUGAUCAUUUUAAUUCUUCUGUGCUGUCACUUGAACUUUUGUGCUCAGUCUCUUAAGGAGACUGUUUUGGGAGAAAUGGUCUUUCACUUACUUGAUCAGCCACGUUGUCCAUUCCUUAGUAACUGAAAUAAAACCAGGUUGUUAUUUUACGUUUCCUAGCAUUAAAAAUGAACAGAUCUGACUUAAUCAUUUCUGAUGCUGAGCUGGGAGUUUGCAGCAUUUUCCCCAGCUGCUGAGUUCUACACCGUGGGUGUUUCUCCUAUUUUCCUUUGUAUUUCUUAACCUGGGCUUUGGUUCUGGCUUUGCCUCUAGUGUGCCUCAAUACCUUAGUCUGUUUCAUUAGAUUUUUUUUGGAAAUCUGCUGUGAUUACUACCUAAUCCCUUUGUGCACCUCUCCUGGCCUUCUCCUGGAAACCAAGAUUAACCUUCUGUGGCGUUUUUGAUCUAGCUAGCCAUGCAAUAUAAAUCACUACUACUGCUGGCAAAGGGCUAUACUGAACUGUGUGAAAUCUGCCUUCUGAGAUGCAAAGCACAAUGAAAAACUUUGUUUCUCUUUCCUGUUGCACAGACAUGGGUUUGUUGUGCCUGGGAAGACAUGCCCAUCUCAGUGUCAUUGUCACUGGCAGUGAUUUUCUUUGGCGGAACAUUUUCUUACUGUGUAGUACUGGAGGCUCGGCAGCACUCACUGCAGUCCCCUGGAUGCACUCAGCAGAAGCUUGUUGGGCUGCUUGCUGGUGGUGUGUGAAGGGGCUGAAUGCCCAGCUUGGUCUGGUGGCUUGCUGCCAGACCCUAAUGUGCUCUCCUCUCCACCUUGGUGCUGCUACCAGGCACCUCCUGAAGCACAGUGCCUGAGUGCAGCUGUGGGUCCUGUUUCUGGUUCUUUUUGCUUGCUCUCAGCUUGUUCUGAGACCUCAAAGUGGGCUGUCCCCAUUAUACAGUAGUAUAUGAAAAGUACAUGUCUUGCUCAUAGUUUUUUUUCAGAAGGUUUCUUUCUUUCCAUUUGGUUUUCUCUGGAUGCUUCCUUAUCAAUUCU
RNAcentral lists this long non-coding RNA (26451 nucleotides) under Gallus gallus (chicken). Lineage: Eukaryota; Metazoa; Chordata; Aves; Galliformes; Phasianidae. The record is from RNAcentral.